UUGUCCUACGGGAGGCAGCAGUGGGGAAUAUUGCACAAUGGGGGGAACCCUGAUGCAGCGACGCCGCGUGAGCGAAGAAGUAUUUCGGUAUGUAAAGCUCUAUCAGCAGGGAAGAAAAUGACGGUACCUGACUAAGAAGCCCCGGCUAACUACGUGCCAGCAGCCGCGGUAAUACGUAGGGGGCAAGCGUUAUCCGGAUUUACUGGGUGUAAAGGGAGCGCAGGCGGCGCGGUAAGUCUGAUGUGAAAGCCAGGGGCCCAACCCCGGAACUGCUCUGGAAACUGUGCG
RNAcentral lists this ribosomal RNA (288 nucleotides) under uncultured bacterium. Its description in RNAcentral is "partial 16S ribosomal RNA". It matches the Rfam family "Bacterial small subunit ribosomal RNA", at positions 334 to 640 of the family's 1533-position model. The record is from RNAcentral.